Molecule: ribosomal RNA, 522 nt
Filed under: uncultured Oscillospiraceae bacterium
Lineage: Bacteria; Bacillati; Bacillota; Clostridia; Eubacteriales; Oscillospiraceae
Description: bacterial SSU rRNA
Rfam family: Bacterial small subunit ribosomal RNA
Source: RNAcentral
ACGUCAGUAGAGUUGUAUCGUCGCUCAGGACGAACGCUGGCGGCGUGCCUAACACGAAUGCAAGUCGAACGGAACUUAAGUUGUAAGGAAGUUACUUCGGAAGGACGAUUGGUUAAGUUUAGUGGCGGACGGGUGAGUAACGACGUGAGUAACCUAGCCUCCGAGAGGGGAAGUAACAAUACUGAAAAGAAUUGCUAAUACCGCAUAACAUAGCGAAGUCGCAUGGCAGCGCUAUCAAAGAUUUAUCGCUCGGAGAUGGACUCGCGUCCGAUUAGUUAGUUGGUGAGGUAACGGCUCACCAAGACCGCGAUCGGUAGCCGGACUGAGAGGUUGAACGGCCACAUUGGGACUGAGACACGGCCCAGACUCCUACGGGAGGCAGCAGUGGGGGAUAUUGCGCAAUGGGGGAAACCCUGACGCAGCAACGCCGCGUGAAGGAUGAAGGUUUUCGGAUUGUAAACUUCUUUUAUUAAGGACGAAAAAAUGACGGUACUUAAUGAAUAAGCUCCGGCUAACUACGCG